GAAGCCCCACGAGCGCAUCUCGGGUCAGGAGAACGGCUCUGGCUUCUCACAACUGGCAAACGCACUAGGAGAGUCCUAAGGCCCAAAUUUCCGAGUGCCACCCACCACAGUCCUGGGAUGCACAGACUGACCCUCUCUAACCCAGUCCUGGGAUGCACGGACCGACCCGCUCUGACACAGUCCUAGGAUGCACAGAUUCUGCCCUGGACACCCGCGGGCUGGCCAGCGCUUCAAUUCUCUCAAGCUUUUUCUGCGCCUACGCUGAAGCUCCAGCUGUCUACCGACGCCUCAAACUUAGAGAGCUCAACAGCCUCCUCUUCCACACCCGUCUCCUAACAGCAUUCCCCCAGCCCUGCUUCCAGUCUCCAGGUCAGAAAGUCUGGAAUCUCCCACUAGCCACUUGAGCAGGACAUCCUGCCUCCCUAGACUCUGACCCCCUCCGCUCCACCCCACUACUGCCAUGUGAUCCAGGCUCUGCCCAGGCAUGCCUGAUGCUGCCUCCUCCUGUCCCUGGACACAGGCCUCUUGCUGUCCCUACAGUCAGAUGAAGGCACUCAGCUUCUAGGCCUCUGCACCUGCUGAGGUUGCAGGUUCUCCAGACACAGCUUCAAAGCCUGGCUCUACCGGCUGCACUAGGAAAGCCAGGGAGGCAGAAUUGUUCUACCAGAGCAAUCUGCCAAGCAUCUAUCGGAACAAGACUGCUGAGCCCCUGAGAUGCAGUCAACACCUCACUGUGCCCUAUUCUCCUAAGAACAUCGUUUUUAUAUUUUAUCCUUCAUCUUCUUCCAGCUGAAGGUAAGUUCCAGAAAGACUGUUGCAUUAACAUUUUCUCAGGAGAUGUGGACAAACAUCCACAUGCUCCAAGUAGGAGGGCAGCCGCCCACGACAGACCAGCAAUGCCACACAUCUCCCUCAAUGAACCAGUGAGUUUAUUGAACUUACUAUGGUGACAUGCGUGAGGGGCUACUGUCAGCUGGAAUGUGUAUCUCCUCUGCUGCAUGUGGCCUCUGGGAGCCUUGGAGUAUUUGGGAGGCAGAAAAUUAAUGGAAGGGAGGGGCACUCUUAUGAAGCGAUGGGGAGGUCAUUACCCAUGCUGGAUUGAGACCUUUAGGUGAUGUGGCUUUUUUCCCAUCCGGCUAUAAGCAACCCUUCACUCUGGCUCCUAAAAGCAGCUGUAAUAAAAUAGGUUCACCAACCUA
Molecule: long non-coding RNA, 1199 nt
Organism: Mesocricetus auratus (golden hamster)
Lineage: Eukaryota; Metazoa; Chordata; Mammalia; Rodentia; Cricetidae
Exons: 3
Source: RefSeq, a predicted model, not a curated record